CACCAGUCUGCAGGACAUUUCUCUGGUGAGUACACUUCCGUUGUGACCACACUGGUCUGUGUCUCCAUUAACCUUGAGACUAGACCGUUCAAUCAUCGGUGUCUCCAGUGGUUGUCAGAUGAGGGUGAGGUCUGGAUCCUCAGUGUGUACGUGUACCUGUCCUUGUGUUUUCCCUCAGGAUCUGGUGCCUCUGGGAUACUUGGAGAAGCUUUUUAUUAAGCAGCGUCACUGGGAAAGUGGGGACGUGGGAGCCAACUGUUUGACCGAGGACGAGAGGAUCAGUUUCUUUCAGCGGCAGCAGUUUGUUCUUCAGUUUUUCCUGGGAUACCUUAAAAUAGAUCCUCACUCCUCGUGGAGUCCCUUCAUUCCCUCCUGUGCGGUCAUGCACUCCAUACCUCCUGCCGCCUGGACUCCCAGCAGUCUGCUCAGCAUGUCGUCUGUGGACUUCUACAACUGUCUGGAACUUAUGGGUCGUGACCCAUACAUUGCAAACUACCAACGUAGCCAGUUGCUUAACAAAGUCAAGAAGAUAUUUGGCCCAGUCUUCUCCUUCUCUCAGCCUGUAAUCUCUCAGCUGGGUGCACUGGCUAAAGAAAUGACAGAAGAAGAGCUCAGCAGCCUCCACUUGGUAGAGAGGAGGAGCAUUGCUGCUCUGGGUGCUGUCCAAGGCUGGAGCCAGAAACAGCUGGCAGUGCUCUCCAGCCGAGUGUUCAACUCCACCAAACAGACUCCCAUUCAGCUGGACUCCAGCACACUGGUGGCAAUGGGACACAUCUUGUGUGGAGCUAAAAGCACAAACCUGAGCUCCCUGAAUGCUGUGGAAUUCAGUAAGGCAGCGCUCUUUCUGGGUCAGCUGCAGCUCGCGUGCUCUGAGGAGCAGCUGGAAGUUUUUGUCAGGCUGCUGACACACCCCCUUGCUUUUGGACCCAUAAGUUCAUGGGGGACUGGCGUUUUCAUUGAGAUUGGUGUUCUGGCAGCUGGUAUCACAGAUUUUGCCAUGUCAGCUUUGGUGAGAGAGCAGAUUGAGGGAAUGACACCUGAAGCCAUUUCAAGGAUUCCACCUGAAAGAUUUUACGUGGCCUUGAACCAAAGACAGAUCAGCAUGUUCUCAUAUGAGCAGGCUGCUGCAGUGACUAAUGAGCAGUACAAUAUUCUGUCAGAAGUCCAGAAGACGGCUCUGUCUAUGGCACUGACCCCUUGGGAGAACAGGCCUGUGGACUUUAGAGGGCGAUCAGGGGCAUUGUCGCUGAGCCAUAGUCCUGUAUGUCUCACACUUGGGCUGUUGAUGCUGCUCUUUGUCCUCCAUGGUCCUGCCCAAUGACACCGUUAAGUCAUGUGUCUUCAGGUGGAGUCUCCUCCAGAUAACUCAGACAAUCUGCUCCAAUCUGUGCAAUACAAUAUCCUUAUUGAUAAUCGGCACUUGAUAAUCGACAGAAUUCCUGUCAGAUGUAUGACAGCAGUUUUAAUGUAUCACCUAAAGAACACAGCACUAACCAUGCAUUGAAACAUAUUUCAAAUAAAGGUAAAAACAGUACCACAGUAUAAACACUAUAGCUAACAACACCAAAUAUAACAACAUGAUGUUCUCACUUGCCUUCCUGUUCAUUUUUGCUUUUAUUUUGAUAUCCACCCUUGGUCCCGAUCUCUUCUAUUCAGGGACUUGAUGCCAUACGCAAAAGAGCAACCCCACAACUUAGCAACUGAUUGUAAUAUUGCAUUUAUAUCCAUCUAUAUCUACAUGUAGAUAUAGAUGGGUAUGCAUAUAUACAGUAUAGCCCUCCCCUGGUUUAAACAGACUAGGUUAUUAUUGUCCUUUCAAACCCCAUGCACGCAAAGGAGGAAGAUCUGCCCCUGUUGCUGUAUAUACAUACAUGUAUAUGUAUAUAUGUAUAUACAUAUAUACAUAUAUGUGUGCGUGUGUAUGUACAGUAUAUAUAUGUGAGAGCGUCAUCACUGAGUAACAUAUAUCUAGACGCAGCUAUGUUGCACUAGCAUAAAGUUAUGUAUUUUUGUGAAAUUCUAUAUUUUUAUCAAAGUCACCGCUUUAAUACUUCCUGUUUAUACAUUCUAAGAAUCAUCUGUCUUCAUGAUGAAAUCACGUGUAUAUAACAUGUACUGUACAGUAUAUAACGCUCAUUUGUCAGUGUUCUCUUUUAGGGCUCAGGAGGAAACCUGAGACCGCCUGUUUUUGAUUCAAACUUCUAAAUAUUCUUAUGUUAUUGGCGUGUGAAGCUUGUAAACUUUGGGAAUUGAAAAAUAGUUGAUGUAAAAAUGUACCUCCCCCUCGGUUUAAGGGACAAAGACCUUGCGUUCAGUACAACACGAUCCAGUCUAUUUGCAGUGAGUUUUGUAUUCUUGUACACGCUCGUGUCAUGUAAGCAUCAGUUAUUAAAGCCGACCACUCUGCCUCAGUUCUGUCUUGACAUUGUCCUUAUUCACAUACAUAGAUGAUCAUCUUCUAAGGAAUGUAUUGAAUCAUAGUUUAAUGUCUGGCAAUGACAUUCAUCUACCAAUCUUGGGUUUGUUUUAUAAACAGGUCUAGAUGUAAUGUAGUCACAAAAAAAUUAGUUUGUUUUUCAGUCCAUUGUGAAGGUUCAGUUAAUUUCGAUUUAAAUAAUGAAAUAAACUAAGACAGCAGCUAGCACCCAAUCCUUAAUGUGACCAUACUGUAGAAUCAGACCAACUCCCCAAGACACAGUUUUGAACUCAAAUAAAUCUGCAAUUUUUAUAUUUGUGGCAGAAUUGUGUGAUUUUUAGAGCAUACUGUAAAGAGAGAGUGUUGGUACAAGAUGUGCUAAUGUUAGGAAAAUGACUGUGUCUUUGAUCUUUGGUUCGUAGUGUUUAAUCAUUUGACAUUUGCCUGCCUUUCAUCAUCACGACAAACUAUUUGCUUAGAGAAACUGGACCAGAGCACCGCAACCUAACAGACUGUUUAAAACACCAAAGAUUAGCAGCAACACUAUGGAAGCCAACUUUCACAAAACAACAAAGAAAAAGAGCCUGUUUUAUUUCCUACCAAAAACUUAGAGGUACUCACUGAAGACUCAGUAAUCGAGGAGCGUGCCGAGGACGUUCGAUAAGUCGAUAGUGACGUGCAGACACUGGGAGCCGUUUCCGAGCGUGGUCGCCGGCUGCAUCGCUGACUCCACUGUCAAACACAAGCAACACAGCCAACAUGGCGGACUGGGACGCGGACAGCUUUGAGCCAGACGAGCCGAUUAAAAAGGCGGCAGGGCAGGACAAAUGGGAAGGAGAAGACGAGGAGGAAGAUGUUAAGAACUGGAAGUUGAACGAAAACACAGAAGCAAGACAAGAUAACUGGGAUGAUGAGGAUGAAGAGGAGGAGAAAAAAACAGAGG
RNA transcript from Cynoglossus semilaevis (tongue sole), 3359 nucleotides. It is a transcript of the gene named eukaryotic translation initiation factor 3, subunit Jb, with no coding region annotated. The transcript has 12 exons. NCBI's taxonomy places the organism in Eukaryota, Metazoa, Chordata, Actinopteri, Pleuronectiformes, Cynoglossidae. The record is from RefSeq and is a predicted model, not a curated record.